UCCAGAACCCAGGGUGGUGGCGAGGUGG
RNAcentral lists this non-coding RNA (28 nucleotides) under Macaca fascicularis (crab-eating macaque). RNAcentral also lists the same sequence under 1 other name. The record is from RNAcentral. Lineage: Eukaryota; Metazoa; Chordata; Mammalia; Primates; Cercopithecidae.